Molecule: long non-coding RNA, 241 nt
Filed under: Lathyrus oleraceus (garden pea)
Lineage: Eukaryota; Viridiplantae; Streptophyta; Magnoliopsida; Fabales; Fabaceae
Description: Pisum sativum (pea) long non-coding RNA (PSAT_LNC034541)
Source: RNAcentral
AUUCUAUCUUGAUAUGUUCACUUUAAUCUGUGAUGGAUUUUCUCCUCAUUUCAGUCUUCUACCCAGUAAAUGAUAGAUAUAAAUCCUAUUUUUCCCCUCAGAGUCUAUCCUUGAUAUGUUCACUAUAACUAGUGAUGGAUUUUCUCUUAUUUGCGGUCUUCUUCCUAGUAACCGGUAGUUGUAAAUCCCAUUUCCCCUGCUAAGUCUAUCCUUGAUAUGUUCAUCCUAACCAGUGAUGGAU